AUUGCACGCUGGCGUCAGGCCUAACACCUGCAAGUCGAGCGAGCGGCGGACGGGUGAGUAAUGUAUGGGGACUGCCCGCUCGAGGGGGAUAACUACUGGCAACGGUAGCUAAUACCGCAUACUCUCGGAUAACCCAUAUGGGAGUAGCUAGUCGGUUAGGUAAUGGCUCACCUAGGCGACGAUCCCUCGCUGUUCUGAGAGGAUGAUCAGCCACAAUGGGACUGAGACACGUCCCAGACUCAGACGGAGGAAGCAGUGGGGAAUAUUGCAAAAUGGGAGCAAGCUGGAUGAAGCCAUGCCGGGUGUAUGAAGAAGGCCCUAGGGUUGUAAAGUACUUUCAGUAGGGAGGCGUUACCGACAGAAGAAGCAGCGGCUAACUCCGUGACAGCAGCCGCGGUAAUAC
This 403-nucleotide ribosomal RNA is filed under the name uncultured bacterium. RNAcentral's name for it is "partial 16S ribosomal RNA". It matches the Rfam family "Bacterial small subunit ribosomal RNA", at positions 30 to 526 of the family's 1533-position model. The record is from RNAcentral.